Molecule: ribosomal RNA, 861 nt
Filed under: Psychrobacter sp.
Lineage: Bacteria; Pseudomonadati; Pseudomonadota; Gammaproteobacteria; Moraxellales; Moraxellaceae
Description: bacterial SSU rRNA
Rfam family: Bacterial small subunit ribosomal RNA
Source: RNAcentral
UGAUAAGUCAGAUGUGAAAUCCCCGGGCUUAACCUGGGAACUGCAUCUGAUACUGUUAAGCUAGAGUAGGUGAGAGGGAAGUAGAAUUCCAGGUGUAGCGGUGAAAUGCGUAGAGAUCUGGAGGAAUACCGAUGGCGAAGGCAGCUUCCNGGCAUCAUACUGACACUGAGGCUCGAAAGCGUGGGUAGCAAACAGGAUUAGAUACCCUGGUAGUCCACGCCGUAAACGAUGUCUACUAGUCGUUGGGUCCCAUGAGGACUUAGUGACGCAGCUAACGCAAUAAGUAGACCGCCUGGGGAGUACGGCCGCAAGGUUAAAACUCAAAUGAAUUGACGGGGGCCCGCACNAGCGGUGGAGCAUGUGGUUUAAUUNGAUGCAACGCGAAGAACCUUACCUGGUCUUGACAUACACAGAAUCUUGUAGAGAUACGAGAGUGCCUUCGGGAAUUGUGAUACAGGUGCUGCAUGGCUGUCGUCAGCUCGUGUNGUGAGAUGUUGGGUUAAGUCCCGCAACGAGCGCAACCCUUGUCCUUAGUUACCAGCGGGUUAAGCCGGGAACUCUAAGNAUACUGCCAGUGACAAACUGGAGGAAGGCGGGGACGACGUCAAGUCAUCAUGGCCCUUACGACCAGGGCUACACACGUGCUACAAUGGUAGGUACAGAGGGCAGCUACACAGCGAUGUGAUGCGAAUCUCAAAAAGCCUAUCGUAGUCCAGAUUGGAGUCUGCAACUCGACUCCAUGAAGUAGGAAUCGCUAGUAAUCGCGGAUCAGAAUGCCGCGGUGAAUACGUUCCCGGGCCUUGUACACACCGCCCGUCACACCAUGGGAGUUGAUUGCACCAGAAGUGGUUAGCCGAACCU